Ictalurus punctatus (channel catfish) is the source of this 1220-nucleotide long non-coding RNA. The record is from Ensembl. Lineage: Eukaryota; Metazoa; Chordata; Actinopteri; Siluriformes; Ictaluridae.
GUUGAACUUUUAUGAAUUUUUCAGAAUCACUACUGAAACAUGAUAAAAGUUUAAUAGGACUAAAAAUACUUGCAGCUCACAGGAGGACCUAGGAGUUACAGAAUGUCAUCCAAAACCUCCAAGGAAAUGGUGGGUUGGUAGGAAGGUUUGCCUUUUUAGGAAAAUAAUGCGGACAUCAUGUAAGAAGUGAGUGGAAUUUUGGUUGUUUGGUUGGAAGAUGGGUAGGUGUGAUGGUUGGUAGGUAGGUAAGUUGGUUGGUUGGUUGGUAUGUAGGUAAGUUGGUUGGUUGGUAGGUUGUUUGGAUGGUAGGUAGGUAAGUUGGAUGGCAUGGUAGGUUGGAUGGUUGUGGUUGGUAGGUAGGUAAGUUGGGUGGUAGGAAGGUAGGUAGGUAGUUUGGUUGGUUGAAUGGACAGUUGGUUGGUUGCUAGGAAAGUAGGUAGGUAGGUAAGUUGGUUGGUUGGUAGGUAGGUAGGUAAGUUGGUAGGUUGUUUGGAUGGUAGGUUGGUUGGUUGGUUGGUAGGAAAGUUGGUUGGUUGGUUGGUAGGAAGGUAGGUAGGUAGGUAGGUUGGCUGGUUGGUAGGAAAGUAGGUAGGUAGGUAGGUAGGUUGGUAGGAAAGUAGGUAGGUAGUAGGGUAGGUUGGUUGGUUGGUAGGAAAGUAGGUAGGUAGGGUGGUAGGUUGGUUGGUUGGUAGGAAAGUAGGUAGGUAGGUAGGUAGGUUGGUUGGUUGGUAGGAAAGUAGGUAGGUAGGUAGGUAGGUUGGUUGGUUGGUAGGAAAGUAGGUAGGUAGGAGGAAGGUAGGUUGGUUGGUUGGUUGGUAGGAAAGUAGGUAGGUAGGUAAGUUGGAUGGUAGGGUAGGUUGGUUGGUUGGUUGGUUGGUUGGUAGGUAGGUAAAUUGGUUGGUUGGAAGGUAUGUACUUCUAUUCUGAUUUAUCCUUUCCUUGCAUAACCGAGGAAUCGUACAUCUUUUAUGAAGCAUGUCAGGAAAAAGCUUUGCAGUUACAUUUUUACAUGACACAUCCCACACACAUCCCACACACACACACACUUUCUGUAUUUCCUACAGGGCAUAUGAAGACACAGACACACUGAAACAGAUUCACAAAGUAAAACCUGAUUAAAGGCAUAACGCAGAAUAAUUGAUGACCUGAGCUCAAAAAAGCAAAGCAGUCCAGAAGGUUCAGUAUGUUCAAUACGGAUUACAGAUUAUAAUCCUCAAAUA